CACUCCUGCGGGAGGCAGCAGUGGGGAAUUUUGGACAAUGGGCGAAAGCCUGAUCCAGCAAUGCCGCGUGAGUGAAGAAGGCCUUCGGGUUGUAAAGCUCUUUUGUCAGGGAAGAAACGGUGAAAGCUAAUAUCUUUUGCUAAUGACGGUACCUGAAGAAUAAGCACCGGCUAACUACGUGCCAGCAGCCGCGGUAAUACGUAGGGUGCAAGCGUUAAUCGGAAUUACUGGGCGUAAAGCGUGCGCAGGCGGUUUUGUAAGUCUGAUGUGAAAUCCCCGGGCUCAACCUGGGAAUUGCAUGGGAGACUGCAAGGCUAGAAUCUGGCAGAGGGGGGUAGAAUUCCACGUGUAGCAGUGAAAUGCGUAGAUAUGUGGAGGAACACCGAUGGCGAAGGCAGCCCCCUGGGUCAAGAUUGACGCUCAUGCACGAAAGCGUGGGGAGCAAACAGGAUUAGAUACCCCGGUAGUCCC
Molecule: ribosomal RNA, 471 nt
Filed under: uncultured organism
Description: partial 16S ribosomal RNA
Rfam family: Bacterial small subunit ribosomal RNA
Source: RNAcentral